GGACGAACGCUGGCGGCGUGCCUAAUACAUGCAAGUAGAACGCUGAAGGAGGAGCUUGCUUCUCUGGAUGAGUUGCGAACGGGUGAGUAACGCGUAGGUAACCUGCCUGGUAGCGGGGGAUAACUAUUGGAAACGAUAGCUAAUACCGCAUAAGAGUAGAUGUUGCAUGACAUUUGCUUAAAAGGUGCAAUUGCAUCACUACCAGAUGGACCUGCGUUGUAUUAGCUAGUUGGUGGGGUAACGGCUCACCAAGGCGACGAUACAUAGCCGACCUGAGAGGGUGAUCGGCCACACUGGGACUGAGACACGGCCCAGACUCCUACGGGAGGCAGCAGUAGGGAAUCUUCGGCAAUGGACGGAAGUCUGACCGAGCAACGCCGCGUGAGUGAAGAAGGGUUUCGGAUCGUAAAGCUCUGUUGUAAGAGAAGAACGAGUGUGAGAGUGGAAAGUUCACACUGUGACGGUAUCUUACCAGAAAGGGACGGCUAACUACGUG
This 496-nucleotide ribosomal RNA is filed under the name uncultured bacterium. RNAcentral describes it as "partial 16S ribosomal RNA". It matches the Rfam family "Bacterial small subunit ribosomal RNA", at positions 27 to 507 of the family's 1533-position model. The record is from RNAcentral.